This 482-nucleotide ribosomal RNA is filed under the name uncultured bacterium. Its description in RNAcentral is "partial 16S ribosomal RNA". It matches the Rfam family "Bacterial small subunit ribosomal RNA", at positions 30 to 507 of the family's 1533-position model. The record is from RNAcentral.
AUUGAACGCUGGCGGCAUGCUUUACACAUGCAAGUCGAGCGGUAACAGGCCGCAAGGUGCUGACGAGUGGCGAGCGGGUGAGUAAUGCAUCGGAACGUGCCCAGUCGUGGGGGAUAACUACUCGAAAGAGUAGCUAAUACCGCAUACGAUCUAUGGAUGAAAGCGGGGGACCGUAAGGCCUCGCGCGAUUGGAGCGGCCGAUGUCAGAUUAGGUAGUUGGUGGGGUAAAGGCCCACCAAGCCAACGAUCUGUAGCUGGUCUGAGAGGACAACCAGCCACACUGGGACUGAGACACGGCCCAGACUCCUACGGGAGGCAGCAGUGGGGAAUUUUGGACAAUGGGCGCAAGCCUGAUCCAGCAAUGCCGCGUGCAGGAAGAAGGCCUUCGGGUUGUAAACUGCUUUUGUACGGAACGAAACGGCUCUGGUUAAUACCCGGGGCUAAUGACGGUACCGUAAGAAUAAGCACCGGCUAACUACGUG